CUCAAAGGGAAGCAAGGAAGUGAAUACACAGUGGUAGGAACUUUGGUGCCCUUUGGACUCAUCACUAGGUGGCAGGACCAACACAAGGGUAAAAGUGCAAAGAGAGAAGUAGUGAGCAAACCUGCUGCCUCUUCUUCCUCCCACCAGCUUUUUUUUUUUUCCUUUUCUAGGGCCACUCCCAGGCAUUUGGAGAUUCCCAGGCUAGGGAUCUACCAGCUUUCUAUACAGGGGUGAGGAGUGGCUCUUGGGCCAACUCUAGCUUGUGGCCCAUUUUUGUGUAUGAAAUCUUAUUGGACCAUCAUACCCAUUAGUUUACAAAUUGUCUGUGGCUGCUUUUUCAUUACAUUGCAGUUGAGUAGUUGUGGUAGGUAUAAUACAAACUGCCAAAUAUAAAACAUUUACUCUCUUGCCUUUUAAAGAAAAAGUUUGCUGAUCUCUUCUUUAGACUAGUGGUUCUCAAAGUUUGGCUUGCAUUUCCAGGUGAUGCUAAUGCUGCUGGUCUGGGGACCAGACUUUGAGAACCACUUCUUUCAUUUAAGACCUCAGGAUACCCACACCUGGAUCAAAGCAAAAACUGCCUUAGCUACAAAUUCCAGGGAUGAUUUCAGGUUCUGUCUCUACCUCAGCUUGAACUAUCAUCACUCUUGUGAAACUUCAUUUCAUCCAAUGGCCUUUCUCCUUGGUUCUUUCCCUCUGUACAGAUCUUUAAGGUAAAAAAAAUUCAUUAAGAAAUAAACCUGGCAUUCUUCUUACUGUCCUGAGGUGAAAUAUGUUGACAUUUUUGCAUCCAGCUCUUUUUAAGAAUUAGUAACUACUGUCAUCAAUAAUCCUUUUCCCUUUAGUCAUAUCUAUUGACCCCAUUCCCAUACCAUAUCAAAUAAAUAAUUUGAAGCUACAUUUGUGUUCCUUAUUUGAGUGAAAGCUACAAAGGAGAGGGAAACUAUGAUUUUUAUCAGGUACAUAAGUGACUACAUAUAUCGGCUUGAAGUAGGAUUUAGGGAGAAGUUGAAAUUGGAUGUAAUAGAAGGGGUGGUUACUUUUGCCAUCUUGAUGUGUUAGGCCUUUAUAAGAUUGUUUCAUUAUUUUGUUAGAAGUGCUAUGACUUAAUUACUAGAGUAAGAGACAGGACCAUAUAUAAAUAUAGGUGAAAGCAGGUUCAGUGAUAAAAGCUUUUGUAAUAUCCAUCAUUCAGAACUAUCCAUGUGGCUGCUCCCUUCUGUGCUUAUAGUAAUGUAAAUGUGACUGCCUCUGGGUUUAGCAUGAAAGAAAGUUGAUAUCAUUUAAUUUUGAACUUUAAGUUCAUAAAAAGCAGAGCUAUAUUUAUUUUGUUAGUACUAGUAGAGUACUAUAUCCAUCCAAUUGUUUAAUAAUAUAUGCAAUUAUAUUCCUUCCCCCCAGUCUGAUAUUUUGCUUCUCAGGGUUGGUGGCUGAUGGGAGAAACUACCAAGGGAUAAGGAGGGUUUAUAAGUCAAUUUAUUUCUUCCUCCAUCUGCUUUGAAAACAGUGAAAUUGGUAGUGGGGAAAUAUGAAUAACGCAUCAACCAGUUUUUAAAAAAUAUGAAACUCUGGCUCUGAUUAACUCAUCAUUCAACUUUUAAAAAACAUGGAAAUUAAUGGACUAUUUAACUAAAGAGUAAGGAAAACAACUACCCAAUCUAUAAACUGCUCAGCCAGAAGGAAGUCUUACCAGCCUCACAUUAAAUAUGAAAUGUGCUAGUACUGGUUAUAUCCAUUUAUCAUAGAUUUUAUGCCUCAAAUGUAUUCAUAAUGGAUUACAAUGCUGAUGUUCAUUCCUCACAUGUUUAUAUAUUUAAUAUUGUUCCCUCAGAAGAUCUGAACAUCGCUAAAGGCAAAGUUAUAUUUUUCCUUGAUGAUAAUAAAAUAAUAAAGUGUUACAAAUAAGGAAUUUAUGGCUGAAGUUGCCCUGUAUUUCAUGUUGCAGAAAUAAUGCUCUUGCUUACCUGACUUAGUGCCUUCUUUCAGCAUCAUUAUUCAUUUGUCUUGGGACCUGGUGCUAAAAGGUCAUCUUUUCAAACUUGGCUCUUUCAGUUCUUGACAACUCAAGAUAAUAUAUGUUUAGAAAAACAAAUACCCUUAAGAAUACCUUACAAAACCCAAAUGUCUCUAAUUGCUCUCUUUGUUUGCUGCCAAAUGGAUAAUAAUAUCACUAAUAUAAAAUGACAGAGCUGUUUCCAUUUAAAAGAGCAUUAGCACAGCUAUCCAAUGGCAUUAAGAGGUUAGAAUGGUUACACCGAUGAUACACCAAUGACACAUGGGAGGGAGGUAGUCCCUUGAAAGGGGCAUGAAGAGCCUCUUGAGGUGCUGGGAAUGUUCUCUUUCUCAAUCCAAGUGCUUGUUUCAUGAAUGUGUUUAUUUUGUGAAAAUUCAUUGAGCUGUAGACUUACAAUUUGGGUCCUUGAUGGGUGGUAAACUUUACAAGAAUGUUUAUUAAAUAGAAAAAAUGCAAUAGAUUAGGGUGAUUUAGGAAAUCAAUUCUGGGGAGUUCCUGUUGUGGCGCAGCAGAAACAAACCUGACUAGUAUCCAUGAGGAUGUGGGUUUGAUCCCUGGCCUUGCUCAGUGGGUUAUAGAGCUGGCAUUGCCAUGAGCUGUGGUAUAGGUCACAGACACAGCUUGGAUCCUGUGUUGCUGUGGUGUAGAUUGGCAACUAUAGCUCCGAUUUGACCCCUAGCCUGGGAACUUCCAUAUGCCCUGUGUGUGGCCCUAAAAAGCCAAAAAAAAAAAAAUUCUGUUUUUUAUUAUAGUUGAAAUUUAUAUGUCUAAAGUCUAAAAAUCCUAUGCACAACAUAGUUAUUUUUUUAAUUUAGAAAAUAUGCAGAGUUCCCGUCAUGAUGCAGUGGAAAUGAAUUCAACUAGGAACCAUGAGGUUGCGGGUUCCAUCCCUGGCCUUGCUCAGUGGGGUAAGGAUCUGGCGUUGCCCUGAGCUGUGAUGUAGGUUGCAGAUGUGGCUGUGGUGUAGACCGGCAGCUGUAGCUCCGAUUAGACCCCUAGCCUGGGAACUUCCAUAUGCUGCAUGGGUGUGGCC
RNAcentral lists this long non-coding RNA (3044 nucleotides) under Sus scrofa (pig). RNAcentral's name for it is "lncRNA (ENSSSCG00040049488.1)". Lineage: Eukaryota; Metazoa; Chordata; Mammalia; Artiodactyla; Suidae. The record is from RNAcentral.